Molecule: long non-coding RNA, 245 nt
Filed under: Vigna radiata
Lineage: Eukaryota; Viridiplantae; Streptophyta; Magnoliopsida; Fabales; Fabaceae
Description: long non-coding RNA (VRAD_LNC001504)
Source: RNAcentral
CUCCCAAUAUUCUUGCACUAAACCUUCUUUCUUAAGAUCCAACAACAUUGUCGUAAGGAUUAUGGUUAUGGAUGAUUGAAAAUGUCGAAUUAGAAUGUUCCUAAACAUCAUCCAAGAUUGGUUUUGAACUCAAGUAUCCCACCACAUAAAACACUAUAUCUCAAUCCAGUUAACAUAAUCAUUGAAAUCAAUUCAAAUGGACAAAGGAAUUUCUAAUUUCCUCCAAUAUUCUUCUCUUGAGUGGG